This 442-nucleotide ribosomal RNA is filed under the name uncultured bacterium. RNAcentral's name for it is "partial 16S ribosomal RNA". It matches the Rfam family "Bacterial small subunit ribosomal RNA", at positions 338 to 795 of the family's 1533-position model. The record is from RNAcentral.
CCUACGGGGAGCAGCAGUAGGGAAUCUUUCACAAUGGGCGAAAGCCUGAUGGAGCAACGCCGCGUGCAGGAUGAAGGCCUUCGGGUUGUAAACUGCUUUUAUAAGCGAGAAAUAUGAUGGUAACUUAUGAAUAAGGAUCGGAUAACUACGUGCCAGCAGCCGCGGUCAUACGUAGGAUCCGAGCAUUAUCCGGAGUGACUGGGUGUAAAGAGUUGCGUAGGUGGCAUAAUAAGUAGCUAGUGAAAUCUGGUGGCUCAACCAUUCAGACUAUUAGCUAAACUGUUAAGCUCGAGACCGUUAGGGGUAACUGGAAUUUCUAGUGUAGGAGUGAAAUCCGUAGAUAUUAGAAGGAACACCAAUAGCGUAGGCAGGUUGCUGGGACGGUUCUGACACUAAGGCACGAAAGCGUAGGGAGCAAACGGGAUUAGAUACCCCAGUAGUC